UAUUCGAGAUGCCAACAGCCAACAGGCCAAU
RNAcentral lists this non-coding RNA (31 nucleotides) under Macaca fascicularis (crab-eating macaque). The record is from RNAcentral. RNAcentral also lists the same sequence under 1 other name. Lineage: Eukaryota; Metazoa; Chordata; Mammalia; Primates; Cercopithecidae.